Molecule: transfer RNA, 77 nt
Filed under: Bacillota bacterium
Lineage: Bacteria; Bacillati; Bacillota
Also listed under: 1 other name
Description: Firmicutes bacterium (anaerobic digester metagenome) tRNA-His
Rfam family: tRNA
About the family: Transfer RNA (tRNA) molecules are approximately 80 nucleotides in length.
Source: RNAcentral
GUGGGCGUAGCUCAGUUGGUUAGAGCGCCAGGUUGUGGCCCUGGAGGUCGAGGGUUCGAAUCCCUCCGUUCACCCCA